RNAcentral lists this ribosomal RNA (339 nucleotides) under Triticum aestivum (bread wheat). Its description in RNAcentral is "partial small subunit ribosomal RNA". The record is from RNAcentral. Lineage: Eukaryota; Viridiplantae; Streptophyta; Magnoliopsida; Poales; Poaceae.
AUGCAGCAACGAGGCCCCGGAGAGACCGAGGAUUCACGCUCGGGCGGCCUCGAGAUCCAAAGCUUCCCCGCUUCCGCGGCUCAGAAAAUCAAGAAAAUCGGCUCAAGAACGGAUCGGGGACCCUCCGUUUCCCUCAUUUCCGCCUCCGUUGGAUCCCCAGCUCCUCCUUCCUUCCCCCCAAGAGCUCCAGAUUACGGAGCUCCCCCUCGCUCGCCUUCCUCCUCUAAGCUCUGGAUUUCUCCGCAGAGCUUCUCCCUCGGCUCCCUCUCUCGCUCUUCUCUCUAUCUCUCCGCUGCAGCUCCUGUGAAUCCUGUGUGUUUGGGCGUGGGUUUGUAUUAG